GGAUCGGUAGUUCAGAAGGAUAGAAUAUCGGUUUGUCGAACCGAAAACACGGGUUCAAUUCCCGUCCGGUCCG
Molecule: non-coding RNA, 73 nt
Organism: Candidatus Portiera aleyrodidarum (primary endosymbiont of Bemisia tabaci)
Lineage: Bacteria; Pseudomonadati; Pseudomonadota; Gammaproteobacteria; Johnevansiales (SeqCode); Johnevansiaceae (SeqCode)
Source: Rfam